UGGCUCAGGACGAACGCUGGCGGCGUGCCUAAUACAUGCAAGUCGAACGGUCUUUUCUAUGGAAGCUUGCUUCCACUGAGAAGAUAGUGGCGAACGGGUGAGUAACACGUGGGUAACCUGCCCAUAAGAGGGGGAUAACAUCCGGAAACGGGUGCUAAUACCGCAUAGUUUUCUUGAUCGCAUGAUUGAGAAAGGAAAGACGGCCUUUGUGCUGUCGCUUAUGGAUGGACCCGCGGCGUAUUAGUUAGUUGGUGAGGUAACGGCUCACCAAGACGAUGAUACGUAGCCGACCUGAGAGGGUGAUCGGCCACAUUGGGACUGAGACACGGCCCAAACUCCUACGGGAGGCAGCAGUAGGGAAUCUUCCGCAAUGGACGAAAGUCUGACGGAGCAACGCCGCGUGAGUGAAGAAAAGGUUUUCGGAUCGUAAAACUCUGUUGUCAGAGAAGAACAAGUUGGAGAGUAACUGCUCCAGCCUUGACGGUAUCUGACCAGAAAGCCACGGCUAACUACGUGCCAGCAGCCGC
This 527-nucleotide ribosomal RNA is filed under the name uncultured bacterium. RNAcentral describes it as "bacterial SSU rRNA". It matches the Rfam family "Bacterial small subunit ribosomal RNA", at positions 20 to 518 of the family's 1533-position model. The record is from RNAcentral.